RNAcentral lists this ribosomal RNA (273 nucleotides) under uncultured Flavobacterium sp. RNAcentral describes it as "partial 16S ribosomal RNA". It matches the Rfam family "Bacterial small subunit ribosomal RNA", at positions 524 to 796 of the family's 1533-position model. The record is from RNAcentral. Lineage: Bacteria; Pseudomonadati; Bacteroidota; Flavobacteriia; Flavobacteriales; Flavobacteriaceae.
UACGGAGGAUCCAAGCGUUAUCCGGAAUCAUUGGGUUUAAAGGGUCCGUAGGCGGUUUAAUAAGUCAGUGGUGAAAGCCCAUCGCUCAACGGUGGAACGGCCAUUGAUACUGUUAAACUUGAAUUAUUAUGAAGUAACUAGAAUAUGUAGUGUAGCGGUGAAAUGCUUAGAGAUUACAUGGAAUACCAAUUGCGAAGGCAGGUUACUACUAAUGGAUUGACGCUGAUGGACGAAAGCGUGGGUAGCGAACAGGAUUAGAAACCCCCGUAGUCC